GGAUAUUGUCGAAACCUGCAAACCAGAAAGACCAGCGGACCCAUU
This 45-nucleotide ribosomal RNA is filed under the name Morus wittiorum. RNAcentral describes it as "partial 18S ribosomal RNA". The record is from RNAcentral. Lineage: Eukaryota; Viridiplantae; Streptophyta; Magnoliopsida; Rosales; Moraceae.